GGCAAGAUGGCCGAGCGGUCUAAGGCGCCAGACUCAAGUUUGAUAAGAACUUGCCUCUCUCAUUGCAAAGAGAGGUCCUUCAUUCUGGUCACGAAAGUGGCAGGGGUUCGAAUCCCCUUCUUGUCA
Molecule: non-coding RNA, 126 nt
Organism: Microdochium nivale
Lineage: Eukaryota; Fungi; Ascomycota; Sordariomycetes; Xylariales; Microdochiaceae
Source: the annotation of a GenBank genome assembly